RNAcentral lists this ribosomal RNA (800 nucleotides) under uncultured bacterium. RNAcentral describes it as "bacterial SSU rRNA". It matches the Rfam family "Bacterial small subunit ribosomal RNA", at positions 8 to 816 of the family's 1533-position model. The record is from RNAcentral.
AGAGUUUGAUCCUGGCUCAGGAUAAACGCUGGCGGCGCACAUAAGACAUGCAAGUCGAACGGACGAAGUUCAUUCUUAACGAUUGAACCAAGUUAGUGGCGGACUGGUGAGUAACACGUAAGCAACCUAGCUAUAAGAGGGGAAUAACAGUGAGAAAUCAUUGCUAAUACCGCAUAAGCUCACAGUAGCACAUGCUAUAGUGAGAAAAGGAGUAAUCCGCUUAUAGAUGGGCUUGCGUCUGAUUAGCUAGUUGGUGUGGUAAAGGCAUACCAAGGCGACGAUCAGUAGCCGGACUGAGAGGUUGAACGGCCACAUUGGGACUGAGAUACGGCCCAGACUCCUACGGGAGGCAGCAGUCGGGAAUAUUGCGCAAUGGAGGGAACUCUGACGCAGUGACGCCGCGUAUAGGAAGAAGUUUUUCGGAAUGUAAACUAUUGUCAUUAGGGAAGAGGAAGGACGGUACCUAAGGAGGAAGCCCCGGCUAACUAUGUGCCAGCAGCCGCGGUAAUACAUAGGGGGCGAGCGUUAUCCGGAAUUAUUGGGUGUAAAGGGUGCGUAGACGGGAAAUUAAGUUAGUUGUGAAAACCCUAGGCUUAACUUAGGAAUUGCAACUAAAACUGAUAUUCUUGAGUACUGGAGAGGAAAGUGGAAUUCCUAGUGUAGCGGUGAAAUGCGUAGAUAUUAGGAGGAACACCAGUGGCGAAGGCGACUUUCUGGACAGAGUCUGACGUUGAGGCACGAAAGCGUGGGGAGCAAACAGGAUAGAUACCCUAGUAGUCCACGCUGUAAACGAUGGAUAC